This 328-nucleotide ribosomal RNA is filed under the name uncultured eukaryote. Its description in RNAcentral is "partial 18S ribosomal RNA". It matches the Rfam family "Eukaryotic small subunit ribosomal RNA", at positions 1470 to 1796 of the family's 1831-position model. The record is from RNAcentral.
CCCUUAGAUGUCCUGGGCCGCACGCGCGCUACACUGAUGCAUGCAACGAGGUUAUAACCUUGGCCUGAAAGGUCUGGGUAAUCUUUUGAACGUGCAUCGUGAUAGGGAUAGAUUAUUGCAAUUGUUAAUCUUGAACGAGGAAUUCCUAGUAAACGCGAGUCAUCAGCUCGCAUUGAUUACGUCCCUGCCCUUUGUACACACCGCCCGUCGCACCUACCGAUUGAAUGGUUCGGUGAAGAUCUCGGACUUCGAUAUUUAUUCUUUAUUGAGUUUAUAUUGUGGGAAGUUAUCUAAACCUCAUCAUUUAGAGGAAGGUGAAGUCGUAACA